GCUUAAUUUGAUAUUAGCGGUUAUUUACGUUUGUGUCUUCUAAAAACUGUGAUUGUACCAAAAUGUGUUAAAGUCAAGGAGGGAAAGGGUGGUUUUGUUUUCGACAAUAGUUGUAUUAAAUGUAGAAUUUAUUAUCUGUAUAAUAAUCUGUGUGUUUGUAUUUAUAGGCUCUUUCAAAUGGCACCGGUGUCAGCGACGCAGUGCUUCAGUUGGUGAAUAUUCGCAAGCUUGAUGGAGGAAAUGGUCCUUCUCGCUUUCGGGUGAUGAUGAGUGAUGGAAGGCACACUCUGUCAUCAUUCAUGCUCUCCACCCAGCUGAACCAUAUGGCUGAGGAAAACAUACUGGCCCCAAACUGCAUCUGUAAUCUGAAGAGACACGUGACCAAUAUACUGAAGGAUGGAAG
Neolamprologus brichardi is the source of this 403-nucleotide non-coding RNA. The record is from RefSeq and is a predicted model, not a curated record. NCBI's taxonomy places the organism in Eukaryota, Metazoa, Chordata, Actinopteri, Cichliformes, Cichlidae.